RNAcentral lists this ribosomal RNA (570 nucleotides) under uncultured Parabacteroides sp. RNAcentral's name for it is "partial 16S ribosomal RNA". The stretch from base 1 to 120 matches the Rfam family "Bacterial small subunit ribosomal RNA", at positions 1408 to 1533 of the family's 1533-position model. Lineage: Bacteria; Pseudomonadati; Bacteroidota; Bacteroidia; Bacteroidales; Tannerellaceae. The record is from RNAcentral.
CGGCCGCGUCGACCGUGAAGUCUGUAACCGCAAGGGAACGGCCGUAGGGUAAAACUGGUGACUGGGGCUAAGUCGUAACAAGGUAGCCGUACCGGAAGGUGCGGCUGGAACACCUCCUUUCUGGAGCGAGAGUUUCCGUGAAGAUUAAUCAAGUGGUAUUGAAUCUCCACUUGUACUACGGUUGGAUAUAUGAAAAAAAAACGAUAAAAAAACGAGAAAGAUGAAGCUGGAAACCGGCGAAAGUUGUACAGUCCUAUAGCUCAGUUGGUUAGAGCGCUACACUGAUAAUGUAGAGGUCGGCAGUUCAACUCUGCCUGGACUACUCCGGAAAGAAACGAUGAAAACUUCUUCCUUUAUUUGCGAAACGAAAAAGUUUCAAUACCUUGCAGCCGCAAAUAGAAAACGGGAUUAGCUCAGCUGGCUAGAGCAUCUCGCUUGCACGCAGAGGUCAACGUUCGAAUCCGUAUCUCACAGAGCUUAGAAAAGUGUAAGAUCUUGAACAUGUAGACGAAUAAGAGAAGUUUAAUAGAAAGUAGAAGCAAAGUCUUAAAGAUAAUAUCGAAAUUCCGG